Molecule: long non-coding RNA, 311 nt
Filed under: Phaseolus vulgaris (common bean)
Lineage: Eukaryota; Viridiplantae; Streptophyta; Magnoliopsida; Fabales; Fabaceae
Description: long non-coding RNA (PVUL_LNC002314)
Source: RNAcentral
CGCGGAGAGGGAGAAGACAUUAUCCACCAAAUUGGAGAAAUGCUAAUCCUUCAUCUUGCAAAUAAGUAAGAACUGUUUUUGUCAGGACCUUCAUUAGGUGGCCAUGGGGUUCCUUUGGAGAAUGGCCGGUACGACAUGAACAAGGAUGUCGUAGAUGACAAAUUGUUGCCGGUCGGCGAAGAUGAAGAAAAUGGAGCAAAGAAUGGAAAAGGCCAAGGAGAUAACCUUGGCGGCGCUCAUAUAGAAGCCGAAGCCUCCGUGGAGGAGGUUAUCAAACCUUUAUAAAUAUAUUCGUAAUAUCUUGAACCCGA